RNA transcript from Papaver somniferum (opium poppy), 2564 nucleotides. It is a transcript of the gene named replication protein A 70 kDa DNA-binding subunit C-like, with no coding region annotated. The record is from RefSeq and is a predicted model, not a curated record. NCBI's taxonomy places the organism in Eukaryota, Viridiplantae, Streptophyta, Magnoliopsida, Ranunculales, Papaveraceae. The transcript is spliced from 8 exons.
UGUUCUCUGAAAGUAACGCCUCCCUAUCUAACGCCAUGAAAGAACUCCUCUUCACUAUAAUCAGUAGAGUUUCCAUCUCAGAGUAAAUUCAAUCCUUCCAACUUCCGGAAAAUAUACGACCUUCUAUGUCCUUCAAUUCCGUUCACUCUCUUUGUUAACGCCUCCCUAUCUAACGUCUCAAUAUAACCCCUCUUUGCUGUAAUCUACAUCUGAGAUUCGAUCCAAUCCUUCCAGAUUCUACAAAAGAUCCAAUCUUCCAAUCUUCUAUGUCCACUAAAAUUCCAGUAUUUCAAUCACAUCUCAGAGUCAGUUACGGUUCUAGGUUUCCCCUAAUAAUUAGAUUUCCCUUCAGAUUGAUUUAUUAUUGAAAUUACACCAAAAGAAACGCACGCCAUGGAUUUAAUUGCAUGCUGCAUCUAUAAAUUGUCUCCGAAAAUCACAGGGAAGCAUCAAUAUCACCGGUUCAACAUCUUCCCAGACAAAGAGAGAAAUGGCAUCACAGGUUACCUGCAAUAUUCAGAAGGUUGGACCCUCAGCCACACAGGACACACUCAAGAGCUUACGAUCACUUGACGAAGGAAAAAAAACAUCGUUACCGUCCGUGUUACCCGGAAAUGGGAAGAGUUGGACUUCAUGUCGACCAACGACGUUAUCAGCGUUGAUAUGGUUAUUUUGACGAACAGGGGGAAUAAUUACACGCCGUCAUACCCAAAAAUCUUAUUUGGAAGUUUGAUAAGCUGAUUCGGGAGGGAGGUCUGUACUCUAUGCAGAAACUACACUUGACCACUGCUAAAUCGAAGUUCCGUCUUGCGCACAAUGAGAAGCGGGCCUUCUUCCGGAGCACCACCUCCAUCAUUGCUUUGGAUGCCUAUUCCGUGUACAUUAUUCCCCAUAAAUUCUGUUUCACUGAGUUUGAGGACAUAGAAUCAAACCUCCAAAUCAUACAUCUUACAGCUGUGGUGGGUUUCUUAAAAACAGUCACCAACAUCCAGGUGCUUCAAAGGUCUGGUGGGCAAUAAAGCCGAAUGCGCGAGAUCACAAUUGAAAAUCUCAGGGGUACAACUAUGAAAAUUGCUCUAUGGGGUUCUACCGCCAACCAAGUAGGGGAUGACCCAAUUGAUGCGACUCCAUCCCCCGUCCUCUUUUGGUUUCCGUGUGCUCCACUUUUGUUAAGAACCACCAAGGGCGAAUCUCUUCGACCAAUGCCACCAAAGUCUACGCGGAUGCAGACAUACCCGAAGUCGUUGAAAUGCGAGAAAGGUUAUCAAAUACCUACUUAAUAUCGUCUCUGUUUUGUACUGAUUAUUAUGUUUCGGCUAAUUCAAUGAUCAAUGUAUGGUAUGAAGGUGCCCCUAUGCUAGACCACCCCGCCAUAUCACAGUAGCGCCUAAGAAAGGAAAAUUACCUAUACAUUUCAAUCCUGACAACAGGAAAACAAUAUCGCAGCUGCUUACUGCCAAAUGGGAUCCUUCUUGCCAGGACGCUAACGUCCUCAUAUGUAACGCCACUGCCACCCAUGUGCUGAUUGAAAAUGGUUGGCACUAUCUUGACUGCCAUCGAUGUAGCAAGAAGGUUAUGGGUGAUGAUGGGGACCUUUGGUGCACUAAAUGUGAUGCCAAAGUUCAAAUGCCCAUUGCAAGGUCGAUGGUUCCUUUUUGCAUCACAGGUUCAUGGUCCGCUUUGAGGUAGAGGACCACACUGGCACCACAGUCUUUGUAGCUCUGGAUAGUGAAGUCCAAAAAAUGGUCCGUUCUACCGCAGCUGAGCUCAUAGGAGCGUCAGAGGUAAACCUCUAGAUUUUGGGUUUGAUGAUAUGUUUUGAGUAUGGCAUCUUUGCAGCUGAAUUUUGGUCCACCCAUGUGUGCAUACUUAUAUAUAUCAUAAAUCCGUUUUCUUAAAAAAAUAAAAAGAGUUCAGUGUAGAGUUUAGUAUAGAAGUUUAAUUGAAUACCUGAGGAGAUUGAUAUUUCUUAUUUCCCUUUCAUUCAUCAAACUAAUGUUACAUUCAGUGGGACCUUUGCUGCACUAAAUGCAAAAUCUGCGGUAAUAUCUGGAUUCUCGCAGAUACUCCAGCGAGUUGUUGAUUUCCAAAUUACUAUCAAUUCCUUCAACAUGAAACAGAAAACACCAACCAGCGAGUUGUUGAUUUCCGAAUUAACCUCACCAACCAGCCUGGCCAAGGUGUUUUUGCGACUGUGAAAGUUGAAGGGGUUUCAAAUAGUGUUGAUGGACCGCACACAAAGAAACCUCGCCUUGACGAAACAACUGGAAUGGAGGAUAAGAAGGAUGAAGUUGUGAAUGAAUUGGGCCUCGCUACAGGAAUAUAAUUGAAUAAAACAUUACAUGAACCUUUAUUCAGUAUUGUUAUUUGUUUGUUUUCUGUUUUCUUUGUUUGAACUCCAUGUUUCGCAGUUUACUUACAGUCUUGAUAAUAGUUAUGCUCUAUUAUCAGGUUACCCAUUUCAACGCUAAGUCUUUUGUUAAAAAAGUUUCGGAACCUUAAUUGUCUGCACUGCAAGAUGGUACUUUAUAUGAUGGCUUAAUACUGCAUCUCUUGCCCUGCGA